CGCAGACCACUCGGGACCGGAAGUUGAGGAGUCCGCUGCUGUUUCUGAGCAUCUAGGACCUCGAAGUCCAAGAUGAACCCUUGUCCCCUUCAGAGAUCAUUGCAGAAGUCAUGAGGUGCCUUGUGUGUCCCCAGCUCCUCCAGGCCCCUGGCUACCCACCCUGCCAUCCACUUUGCUCCUGUACAAGGAAAAGGGAGUUUACUUUUUGAGAGAAGCAGUUCCUGCUUGCUGGAGAUGGAACAUGGGGUGUAGGUGAGACUGCUUGUGACAGCACUGUGAUAGGGACCAUGCCUCCUCCCAGGAGAACGGACGAGAGGGAUCGCCAGGACCGACACCACCAUCGAGCUCCCAGGGAAGAAGAAGCCCUGGAGAAAUGGGACUGGAACUGUCCUGAGACUCGCCGCCUCUUGGAAGACAUAUUCUUCUGUGAUGAGGAUUACAUCCGUCGUGGUUCUGAGGAAUGCCAGAAAUUCUGGGCUUUCUUUGAACGGCUGCAGAGAUUCCAGCACCUCAAGGCCUCCAGGAAAGAGGAGAAGGACCCUGGCCGUCCCACACAUGGCAUCCCUGCUCUAGUUGACCUACCUCGCACUUAUGACCCACGCUACCGCAUCAACCUCUCCAUCCUUGGCCCAGACACUCGGCGUUGUCAGGGGCUGGGCAGGUUGCUCCCCCCCGAGAGAGUGUCUGAGUUCCGUCGGGCACUGCUUCACUACCUGGACUUCGUGCAGAAGCAGGCUUUUGGGCGACUUGCCAAACUGCAGCGUGAGCGGGCAGCUCUUCCCAUUGCCCAAUAUGGGAACCGCAUCCUGCAGACACUCAAGGAAAACCAGGUGGUGGUGGUGGCCGGUGACACGGGCUGUGGCAAAUCUACUCAGGUCCCCCAGUACUUACUAGCUGCUGGCUUCAGCCAUGUAGCAUGCACUCAGCCUCGGAGAAUUGCCUGUAUCUCACUGGCCAAGCGGGUUGGCUUCGAGAGCCUCAGUCAGUAUGGCUCCCAGGUUGGCUACCAGAUCCGCUUUGAAAGCACACGCUCGGCAGCCACCAAGAUCGUGUUCCUGACGGUGGGGCUGCUCCUACGCCAGAUCCAGCGGGAGCCCACCCUGCCCCAGUACCAGGUCCUGAUCGUGGACGAGGUCCAUGAGCGGCACCUGCACAAUGACUUCUUGCUGGGCGUCCUGCGUGGCCUGCUGCCCAGGCGGCCUGACCUCAAGGUCAUUCUCAUGUCGGCCACCAUCAACAUCUCUCUCUUCUCUAGCUACUUCAGCCGUGCUCCGGUGGUGCAGGUGCCUGGGAGACUCUUCCCCAUCACGGUAGUGUACCAGCCGCAGGAGGCAGAGCAGACAGCGUCCAAGUCAGAGAAGCUGGACCCACGGCCUUUCCUGAGAGUGCUGGAGGCCAUCGACAAUAAGUAUCCCCCUGAGGAGAGGGGGGACCUCCUUGUCUUCCUCAGCGGCAUGGCAGAGAUCAGCACAGUGCUGGAUGCUGCCCAGGCCUAUGCCAGCCUCACUCAGCGCUGGGUGGUGCUGCCCCUGCACAGUGCUCUCUCUGUGGCCGACCAGGACAAGGUGUUUGACGUGGCCCCAGCUGGAGUACGGAAGUGCAUCCUGUCCACCAACAUUGCUGAGACCUCGGUCACCAUCGACGGGAUCCGCUUUGUGGUGGAUUCUGGGAAGGUGAAGGAGAUGAGCUAUGACCCUCAGGCCAAACUGCAGCGGCUGCAGGAAUUCUGGAUCAGCCAGGCCAGCGCCGAGCAGCGCAAGGGCCGAGCGGGCCGCACAGGCCCAGGUGUCUGCUACCGCCUCUAUGCCGAGUCUGACUACGAUGCCUUCGCUCCAUACCCAGUCCCGGAAAUUCGCAGAGUGGCCCUGGACGCACUGGUGCUUCAGAUGAAGAGUAUGAGUGUGGGGGAUCCACGGACCUUCCCCUUCAUUGAGCCCCCUCCACCUGCCAGCCUGGAAACCGCUAUCCUGUAUCUCCGAGACCAGGGGGCGCUGGACAGCUCAGAGGCCCUCACCCCCAUUGGGUCUCUGCUGGCCCAGCUGCCUGUAGAUGUUGUGAUUGGGAAGAUGUUGAUCCUGGGUUCCAUGUUCAGCCUGGCAGAGCCUGUGCUGACCAUUGCUGCUGCCCUCAGCGUCCAGUCACCAUUCACCCGCAGUGCCCAGAGCAGCCUGGACUGUGCCACAGCCCGGCGGCCACUGGAGAGUGACCAGGGUGACCCCUUCACGCUCUUCAAUGUCUUCAAUGCCUGGGUGCAGGUGAAGUCUGAGCGGAGUGGGGACUCUCGCAAGUGGUGCCGCCGCCGGGGUGUGGAGGAGCAUCGGCUGUAUGAGAUGGCCAACCUGCGGCGCCAGUUCAAGGAGCUGUUGGAGGAUCAUGGGUUGCUAAGUGGGGCCAAGGUAGUGGCCCCAGGGGACAGCUACAGUCGGCUGCAGCAGCGCAGAGAGCGCCGGGCCCUGCACCAACUGAAGCGGCAGCAUGAGGAGGGUGGAGGACGGAGGCGCAAGGUCCUGCGGCUGCAGGAAGAUGGCUGCUCCAGUGAUGAGGACAAUGAGGGCUCUGCUUCCCAGAGGGCUGACAGCGUUGACAUUCAGGAUGUAAAAUUCAAGCUUCGGCACAACCUGGAGCAGCUGCAGGCAGCAGCCAGCUCAGCCCAGGACCUGACCCGCGACCAGCUGGCUUUACUCAAGCUGGUGCUGGGACGGGGCCUCUACCCACAGCUGGCUGUGCCCGAUGCAUUCAACAGUGGCCGCAAGGACUCGGACCAGAUUUUCCAUACCCAGGCCAAGCAGGGCACUGUGCUGCACCCCACCUGUGUCUUCGCCAACAGCCCUGAGGUAUUGCACACACAGGGGCAGGAGACCUCAGGCCGUGAAGGGAGUCAAGAUGGCAAGGACCAAAUGAACUGCAAGCACCAGCUCCUGGCCUUUGUCUCCCUGCUGGAGACCAACAAACCAUACCUGGUGAACUGCGUCCGCAUCCCCGCCCUCCAGUCCCUCCUGCUGUUCAGCCGGUCCAUUGACACCAACGGUGACUGUUCCCGCCUGGUGGCUGACAGUUGGUUGGAGCUGCAACUCACAGAUAGUGAGAGUGCCGUCCGGCUCCUGGCAACAUCCCUGCGGCUCCGUGCCCACUGGGAAAGUGCCUUGGACCGGCAACUGGCCCACCAGGCCCAGCGGCAGAGGCUGGAGCAGGAGGAAGAGGUGGAGUCGCCAGCGGUCAGCCCCAAGGAGGUAGCUGCUCUGAGCCGGCAGCUGCUGCAGUUCAUGGCGACCAAGGUCCCCUACAGCCUCCGACGGCUCACUGGCCUAGAAGCCCAGAACCUCUAUGUGGGACCCCAAACCAUCACAGCCACCCCUAAUCUGCCUGGUCUCUUUGGAAACUCUACCCUGUCCCCCCACCCCACCAAGGGGGGCUAUGCUGUCUCCGAGUUUCUCACCUAUAACUGCCUCACGAGCGACACCGACCUGUACAGUGACUGUCUGCGCUCCUUCUGGACCUGCCCGCACUGCGGCCUGCACAUGCCCUUCACGCCCCUGGAGCGCAUCGCUCACGAGAACACCUGCCCCAAGACCCCGAAGGAUGAUCCAGGAUCUGAGGAGGCUGCUCCUGCCCCACCGCAGAAGACCUCAGCCCUGCAGAGGCCCUACCACUGCCAGGUGUGCGGGGAGGACUUCCUCUUCACCCCCACCGAGGUGCUGCGACACCGCAGGCAGCACCUGUGAUCCAGAGCUCCAGGGAGCACCCCAGGGAGCUCAUCCAGGCCCUGCUUCAGGAACCUCCACCCCACCUCCAGCCACUUGUGACAAAUGCAGCCUCAGGAGUCUGAGGUGGAACCCAGCUGUGCAGUUGCUUCUGCAUUGCCAUGACCUCAGUCCCAGACAGAAGCUGCUUAAGGGAUGGGGGAUUUUAUCUCAUCGCUGCAGACUAGGAAGCAAAACAAUGGACAGAAGUGAGAGACUAACCUGUGAAGACCUGUACCCAGAAACUUCUGUCGGCCAGGUCCUACCCUUAAAGGUCCAUAACUUCCCACAACAAUGGCAUGGAGUCUGGAAGUCACCUCAGUUGGAAAAGUGCCUGCUGCUCAGGCAGGAGAAUCUGCCUUUGGAUCCCCAGAACCCACGGGAAAGCUGAGCAUAGCCACGGGAAAGCUGAGCAUAGCCACAGGCGUCUGCAACUCCAAAGCUGGGGCUAGGGCUGAAGGCUGGAAAGAGAUUGCAGGGCUGUCUCCCCUGCUCUGGACCCUGCACGCUCAUGAUCGUGGAUCAUAGCAGCUGACUCAGGGAGGUCAGCGCAUCCACACUUCACUGUCUUCUUGUGGUACUGAGGGUGAACUCAGAGCCCUGCACAUUCUAGGAAGUCCUCCCCAACUGAGCCACACCCCAGUUCCUGAAGCCAACCAGAUCCACCAGGCCUCUUCCUCCCUCCGAGGAAACAACAAAGAGUCUCUCUCGGACCAGCCGAGCCUUCUGGAAGAGGUUUAGACCAACUGAGGCCCCUGGAUAGGACACUCGCCAACAUGCUGAGCUGGCUGCAGGUUCCCAGAACUGACACCCGUGCUGGGGUGGACUUUGGUGAUGCAGCUGCCGUUGAGUCAUUUCUUCUCCUAUUAGUGACCUCAGUAAUACUCACUGGUUCACCAGUGUGGACUCUGGUGGUAUCCGUACUGUCAUGGGCUCCCAUCUGGGGUGAGUAAACCGUGUCACACCUCCCCAGGAAAAGUUUGUUACACAACGUCCACAGAGAUGUUUAGGAUGGUUAAAACCCACUACCUUAAGAUGGCAUGUUGUAAGUCUGUAAUUAGUCAGCACUUGGGAGACAGAGAAGGGAGAAUCUGGAGUUCAAGACCAGCCUGGACAAUUCACUGAGACCACAUCUCAAAACAAAAGCAAACCCAAACAAACAAAAGGUUGUGAUAAUAUCAAACUUGAUUGUGCGAGCCACACCCAUUGAUUAAGCCCAGUGGCUCACAAACAACAAACUAAAUCAAAACAGACGUCUGCAAAUAGAAGGGACUCGUUGAGAAUAAAAAGGGGUCCAGCAGGA
Chionomys nivalis (European snow vole) is the source of this 5043-nucleotide RNA transcript. It is a transcript of the gene named DExH-box helicase 34, with no coding region annotated. NCBI's taxonomy places the organism in Eukaryota, Metazoa, Chordata, Mammalia, Rodentia, Cricetidae. The transcript is spliced from 19 exons. The record is from RefSeq and is a predicted model, not a curated record.